CAAUAUCAUCCACUAAAUCUGGAAGGUGAGAGUAACCCACCACAAUAUCAUCCACUAAGGAAGGAAGGUGAGAAUCACCCACCACAAUAUCAUCCACUAAAGAAGGAAGGUCAGAGUAACCCACCACAAUAUCAUUCACUAAAGAAGGAAGGUCAGAGUAACCCACCACAAUAUCAUCCACUAAAUCUGGAAGGUGAGAGUAACCCACCACAAUAUCAUCCACUAAAUCUGGAAGGUGAGAGUAACCCACCACAAUAUCAUCCACUAAGGAAGGAAGGUGAGAAUCACCCACCACAAUAUCAUCCACUAAAUCUGGAAGGUGAGAGUAACCCACCACAAUAUCAUCCACUAAGGAAGGAAGGUGAGAAUCACCCACCACAAUAUCAUCCACUAAAUCUGGAAGGUGAGAGUAACCCACCACAAUAUCAUCCACUAAGGAAGGAAGGUCAGAGUAACCCACCACAAUAUCAUCCACUAAAUCUGGAAGGUGAGAGUAACCCACCACAAUAUCAUCCACUAAGGAAGGAAGGUGAGAAUCACCCACCACAAU
This 550-nucleotide long non-coding RNA is filed under the name Salmo salar (Atlantic salmon). Its description in RNAcentral is "lncRNA (ENSSSAG00000116865.1)". Lineage: Eukaryota; Metazoa; Chordata; Actinopteri; Salmoniformes; Salmonidae. The record is from RNAcentral.